This 369-nucleotide ribosomal RNA is filed under the name Triticum aestivum (bread wheat). RNAcentral's name for it is "partial small subunit ribosomal RNA". Lineage: Eukaryota; Viridiplantae; Streptophyta; Magnoliopsida; Poales; Poaceae. The record is from RNAcentral.
AUGUCCCAAUCCAUUGCUUCAAAGAAGGGACAAAUUUUUUUAUCACAGGAAUUUCACCAAACACUUGCCAGGCGUGGUGACCCCGUACUAGCGGAUGGUACCUUCAUGACAAGUGGACGAGAGGUGUGGACGGCGGACGAGAGGUGUGGACUGGCGGUGGAGGACAAGCGGCGUGGCGACCGGGUGGAGCGGUGGAGGUCGCGGAGGUCUGGGAAGGGCUUGGCGGCCGGCCGAGGUGGUAGAGCGGCGGCGGCGGCGCGGGAGGAAGCGGAUGUAGAGAAAGAGGAAAGGAUGGAGAUGCGGGGUCCGGGCGGGGUUUUGGGUGGGCCGGGGGUUCCGGAGUCCUACGUGGCGAUGGUCCGGACGUAG